UCUCUCUUCCAGAGCUGAAGGGUUCCUGCAACCUGGAGCUUCCGUACUGAAAUGACAACCCUGUGGACCCCAAGGGAAAGAAGAAAGGAAGGGGUCACUGAGAGGGGUAUUGAUUUUGGCCACAUCAAUGUCAUAGAGUUUCUUCACGGCCUGUUUGAUCUGGCCUUGACAUCCACAAUGAACACCAGCGUGUUGACUGACUCAGUGGUCAGUGGGAAUUUGAUGACAGCAUAGUGGUCAAGCUCGUUUCUCCUGAGUGCACCCUUUCCAGGAUAUUUUGGCUGCCUCCGGAGCCUCAGUCUUGGGCCGGCGGAAGGUCUGAUUCUGUAGGUUCAGGCUGCUGCCAGGAGAGAGGAAUGUCUACAACACUCACUAUUCCUGGAAUCUGAGCUGUCCGUGCUGAGAUUGCACAGGUCCCGUGCGUGCUGCCACUGUCUCUGUUGAGUUCCUACGUACAUCAGUCCUGCUGUGUCCGGAGAACACUGUUUUCUUGGGAUCUUCCACUGCCUCUUCUGCUCACUUCCCUGAGCCCAUGAACACUUCUUAAACAGCACAUCCAAGCAAAGAGAUGGACAAGAAAGAAUCUGACCCAGAGUUUAAAGCUGGCAAAGAGGACAGACAAAAUAAAGAUAAACACAGGCUCAAGGCUAGGCCCAUGAUGGGCUACAUCCCUGACCCUCACAGUUUGAAAGAUUCUAAAUUUUAUUACUGGACAAACACCCUAAUGUAGACAUGAACAAGUCUCCAGAUUAAAAAUGUUGAACUCCAUGUAGGACGGCUCCAUGACCACAAUGAGUAUAAACUGCAGUCUUGCCAUUG
Molecule: non-coding RNA, 819 nt
Organism: Rattus norvegicus (Norway rat)
Lineage: Eukaryota; Metazoa; Chordata; Mammalia; Rodentia; Muridae
Source: RefSeq, a predicted model, not a curated record